Molecule: ribosomal RNA, 253 nt
Filed under: uncultured bacterium
Lineage: Bacteria
Description: partial 16S ribosomal RNA
Rfam family: Bacterial small subunit ribosomal RNA
Source: RNAcentral
UACGUAGGGGGCAAGCGUUGUCCGGAUUUAUUGGGCGUAAAGAGCGUGUAGGCGGCUAGGUAGGUCCGUUGUGAAAACUCGAGGCUCAACCUCGAGACGCCGGUGGAAACCAUCUAGCUAGAGUCCGGAAGAGGAGAGUGGAAUUCCUGGUGUAGCGGUGAAAUGCGCAGAUAUCAGGAGGAACACCAAUGGCGAAGGCAGCACUCUGGGACGUGACUGACGCUGAGACGCGAAAGCGUGGGGAGCAAACAGG